Molecule: ribosomal RNA, 253 nt
Filed under: uncultured bacterium
Lineage: Bacteria
Description: partial 16S ribosomal RNA
Rfam family: Bacterial small subunit ribosomal RNA
Source: RNAcentral
UACGUAGGGGGCGAGCGUUAUUCGGAUUUACUGGGUGUAAAGGGAGCGUAGACGGCAGCGCAAGCCUGGAGUGAAAUGCCGGGGCUCAACCCCGGAACUGCUUUGGAAACUGUGCAGCUAGAGUGCGGGAGAGGUAAGCGGAAUUCCUAGUGUAGCGGUGAAAUGCGUAGAUAUUAGGAGGAACACCAGUGGCGAAGGCGGCUUACUGGACCGUAACUGACGUUGAGGCUCGAAAGCGUGGGGAGCAAGCAGG